UACGGGGGGGGGCAAGCGUUGUUCGGAAUUACUGGGCGUAAAGGCUCGUAGGUGGUCAACUAAGUCGGACGUGAAAUCCCUCGGCUUAACCGGGGACUGCGUCUGAUACUGGAUGGCUUGAGUUUGGGAGAGGGAUGCGGAAUUCCAGGUGUAGCGGUGAAAUGCGUAGAUAUCUGGAGGAACACCGGUGGCGAAGGCGGCAUCCUGGACCAACACUGACGCUGAGUGAGCGAAAGCCAGGGGAGCAAACGGG
This 253-nucleotide ribosomal RNA is filed under the name uncultured bacterium. RNAcentral describes it as "partial 16S ribosomal RNA". It matches the Rfam family "Bacterial small subunit ribosomal RNA", at positions 524 to 776 of the family's 1533-position model. The record is from RNAcentral.